AUGCUGCAUCUUUCAGCGAUUUUCCAGCACUAAAUCUGCUUUUGUGUUGCAGCUACCAAGAGUAACUGCUGAAGUCUCCAGUGCUACAGCAAUGAAAAAGCAAAAUUGGGUGCCUGGAGGAAAAGUAAUCUUGUUCAACUGAGCUCUGUCUCAAAAGCAGGUUACCGUGGCUUAAUGAAUUAUCGUGAGUUUGCAGAACAGCGUGUUACCUUACCUAAAAGGGUGCAACGGAGGUCCUGGGUCCCAGUGUGAGGCAUGAUACAAAGAUGCAAGGCCCAGCAGAAGACAACUCAGGUUUGUUAUGAAUUGAGGAUAAAUAUCACUGAUAAAAUGGAGGUCAACAACUUAGCAGCAUCUUGUGGAAAAGGUUUGGAGGAGCCUUUGAAACAUCUGCUGACAAACUCUGAUGAGAAGGCAGUAAUGUGCUUGAAACAAACUUGA
RNAcentral lists this long non-coding RNA (441 nucleotides) under Numida meleagris (helmeted guineafowl). RNAcentral describes it as "lncRNA (ENSNMEG00000018270.1)". Lineage: Eukaryota; Metazoa; Chordata; Aves; Galliformes; Numididae. The record is from RNAcentral.